UACGGAAGGGGCAAGCGUUGUUCGGAAUCACUGGGCGUAAAGGGCGCGUAGGCGGCGUUUUAAGUCGGGGGUGAAAGCCUGUGGCUCAACCACAGAAUGGCCUUCGAUACUGGGACGCUUGAGUAUGGUAGAGGUUGGUGGAACUGCGAGUGUAGAGGUGAAAUUCGUAGAUAUUCGCAAGAACACCGGUGGCGAAGGCGGCCAACUGGACCAUUACUGACGCUGAGGCGCGAAAGCGUGGGGAGCAAACAGG
Molecule: ribosomal RNA, 253 nt
Filed under: uncultured bacterium
Lineage: Bacteria
Description: partial 16S ribosomal RNA
Rfam family: Bacterial small subunit ribosomal RNA
Source: RNAcentral